Molecule: RNA transcript, 2722 nt
Organism: Strigops habroptila (Kakapo)
Lineage: Eukaryota; Metazoa; Chordata; Aves; Psittaciformes; Psittacidae
Gene: TRIM41
Gene name: tripartite motif containing 41
Exons: 10
Source: RefSeq, a predicted model, not a curated record
CUGGGCCGUGCUGAGGAGGAAGAGGAGGCCGCGGGGUCCUUAUGGCGGCCCCGUCGCGGGGCUGCGGGUCGCGGCUGGACCCGGUGGAGACGCUGCAGGAGGAGGCGAUCUGCGCCAUCUGCUUGGAUUACUUCGUGGAGCCGGUGUCCAUCGGGUGCGGGCACAACUUCUGCCGCCGCUGCAUCGCGCAGCUCUGGGGGGGCGCGGACGGGGCGGCCCCGGAGGAGGAGGAGGACGAGGAGGAGGAAGAGGAGGAAGAGCUGGAGGUGGUGGAGGAGGAGGAAGAGGAGGAGGACGAUGAAGGCGCCGAGGAGGAGGAGAUGUGGAGCGAAGAGGAGGACCCCGCGCUCUGGGGGGACCCCGCGGAGGAGGCGGGGAUGUGGGGCGGGGAAGGGCAGUACCCGGGGGAGGAAGAGGAGGAUGAGGAUGUGAUGGAGGAAGACGUCGAGGAGGAGGAGGAGGAGGAGGAAGAAGAAGAGGAGGAAGAGGAGGAGGAAGAGGCUCAACCGCGGCGCCUCCAGCCCUUUACGUGCCCCCAGUGCAGGAAAAGCUUCUUCCAGCGGAGCUUCCGCCCCAACCUGCAGCUGGCCAACAUGGUGCAGAUCAUCCGGCAGCUCCACCCGCACCCGCAGCGCGGCCCCGGGCCCGGCCCCGGCCCCGCGGGGGGAGCCGCCGCCGCCGGCCGCUGCGAGAAGCACCAGGAGCCGCUGAAGCUGUUCUGCGAGGUGGAUGAAGAAGCCAUCUGCGUGGUGUGCCGCGAGUCCCGCGGGCACAGGCACCACAGCGUGCUGCCCCUCGACGAGGUGGUGCAGGACUACAAGAACAAGCUCCAGGGUCACCUGGAGCCGCUGAAGAAGAAGCUGGAGCUGGUGCUGAAGCAGAAAUCCAGCGAGGAGGAGAAGAUCACGGAGCUGAGGGCGCGGAUGCAGCUGGAGAUGCAGGAGCUGGAGGCGGAUUUCGAGCGGCUGCACCAGUUCGUGCUGGGCGAGCAGGUGGCGCUGCUGCGGCAGCUGGAGGAGCGCUACGAGGCGCUGCUGCGGCGCCAGAGCGGCAACGUGCGGCUGCGGCAGGAGCAGAGCGCGGCGCUGCGCCGCCUGCUGGCCGAGGCGCACGCCAAGAGCCGGCAGGACGGGCUGCAGCUCCUGCAGGACAUCAAAGGCACCUUCAUCAGAUGUGAGAACAUCCAAUUCCAGGAGCCCGAGAUGGUGCCUGUGGACGUGGGCAAGAAACAUCGGAAUUACUUCCUGCAGGACGUGGUGAUGAGGAAGAUGGAGAAGGUCUUCGGCAAGGUCCCGCGAGCGGCGGUGACGCUGGACCCGGCCACGGCGCACCCGCGCCUCAGCCUGUCCCUGGACCGGCGCAGCGUGCGCCUGGGCGAGCGGCGCCCGGAGCCUCCCGACGCCCCCAAGCGCCGCGCCUGGGAAUUCUGCGUGCUGGGGGCGCCGGGCUUCAGCGCCGGGCGCCACUACUGGGAGGUGGAGGUGGGCGGCAGGAAGGGCUGGGCGCUGGGAGCCGCGCGGGAGCCGCCGCGCCGCAAGGAGAAGGCGCCGGGAGCGCAGCCCGAAGGCGAGAUCUGGUGCGUCGGCACCGCCGGGAAGCGCUUCCAAGCGCUCACGGCCACGGAGCAAACGUUCCUGGCGCCGGGAGAACGGCCCCGCCGCUUCGGGGUCUACCUGGACUAUGAGAGGGGGCAGCUCUGCUUCUACAACGCCGAGAGCAUGAGCCACAUCCACACCUUCAACGCCUCCUUCCGCGAGCGCAUCUUCCCCUUCUUCCGCAUCCUGGCCAAGGGCACCCGCAUCAAGAUCUGCGCCUGAGCCCGCGCUUUUCCUGCCCCUUGGACUCCAUCUGGAUCCCAGGUUGGGAGCUGGCGCUGCUUUUCCUGCCCCUUGGAUCCCAGUUCAGGAUCUGGCGCUGCUUUUCCCACCCCUUGGAUCCUGGUUCAGGAUCCGGCGCUGCUUUUCCUGCCCCUUGGGUUCUAUCUGGAUCCUGUUUGGGAUCCAGCGCUGCUUUCCCUGCCCCUCAGAUCCCGGUCUGGGAUCUGGCGCUGCUUUUCCUGCCCCUUGGAUCCCAGUUCAGGAUCCAACGCUGCUUUUCCCGCCCCUGGGAUCCCGUUUGGGAUCUGGCGCUGCACUUCCCUUGCACCCACUUCCCUCCCGCUCCAGCUCCUCCCGGGAUCCAAAGCCAGGCUGGGGAUGGAAUUGGGGAUGGAUCCACCUCGGAGGCAGUUUUCCUGCUGCCGGGAGCUCUCCCAUUCCCAGCGGAUGACAUCCCGGUGGGAUUCCACGUCGGGAAGCUCUUGGCUUCAUUCCCAACCCACCUCCCAUCCUCCUCCUCCCCAAUUCCCAUCGCUGGUUGCCCUGAGGAUUCCUUUGGGAUUCGCUUCCAACCAUCCUCAGAGCGCGGCCGGUGUCCAGACCUGGAGUCUAUCCCGCUUUUCCCUGCGGCAUUCCCUGGUUUUGGGGUCUCCAUCCCCAUUCCCUCUCCUGGCACUUCUCCCACCUUCCUGCUCCUGUAUUUAUUUUUGCUGCCAGAAUCUGCUCCCGAGAUUCCAGCUCAAUCCAGAGACUCCGGUUGUGGAUUUUCCCUGGUUUUGUUGGUGGGGGUUGGUUCCUGGCGGCAUUCCAGAGCUACUUCCAACUAUUUUUGGCUAAAAAAAUAUGGGAAUUAAAUGGAGAUUUAGUUUUAUGAGAUGUCAAAUAAUAAAGAGGAAGGUUGUAAA